AGUUGCGGCUAUACCACUUUGCCAUUGCACAAUCUCAUCAGAUCUCGGAAUUUAAGCAGGAUUGGGCCUGGUUAGUACUUGGAUGGGAGACCAUUGAUUUAAGGAAGAUGCUUCAACCA
This 119-nucleotide ribosomal RNA is filed under the name Periophthalmus magnuspinnatus. Lineage: Eukaryota; Metazoa; Chordata; Actinopteri; Gobiiformes; Gobiidae. The record is from RNAcentral.